UACGUAGGGUGCAAGCGUUAUCCGGAAUUAUUGGGCGUAAAGAGCUCGUAGGCGGUUUGUCGCGUCUGCUGUGAAAACUGGAGGCUCAACCUCCAGCCUGCAGUGGGUACGGGCAAACUAGAGUGCGGUAGGGGAGAUUGGAAUUCCUGGUGUAGCGGUGGGAUGCGCAGAUAUCAGGAGGAACACCGAUGGCGAAGGCAGAUCUCUGGGCCGUAACUGACGCUGAGGAGCGAAAGCAUGGGGAGCGAACAGG
This 253-nucleotide ribosomal RNA is filed under the name uncultured bacterium. RNAcentral describes it as "partial 16S ribosomal RNA". It matches the Rfam family "Bacterial small subunit ribosomal RNA", at positions 524 to 776 of the family's 1533-position model. The record is from RNAcentral.